AUUGAACGCUGGCGGCAGGCCUAACACAUGCAAGUCGAACGAGUGGCGGACGGGUGAGUAAUGUCUGGGCAACUGCCCGAUGGAGGGGGAUAACUACUGGAAACGGUAGCUAAUACCGCAUACCAUCGGAUGUGCCCACAUGGGAUUAGCUAGUAGGUGGGGUAACGGCUCACCCAGGCGACGAUCCCUAGCUGGUCUGAGAGGAUGACCAGCCACACUGGAACUGAGACACGGUCCAGACUCCUACGGGAGGCAGCAGUGGGGAAUAUUGCACAAUGGGCGCAAGCCUGAUGCAGCCAUGCCGCGUGUAUGAAGAAGGCCUUCGGGUUGUAAAGGACUUUCAGCGAGGAGGCGUUACUCGCAGAAGAAGCACCGGCUAACUCCGUGCCAGCAGCCGCGGUAAUUC
RNAcentral lists this ribosomal RNA (406 nucleotides) under uncultured bacterium. RNAcentral's name for it is "partial 16S ribosomal RNA". It matches the Rfam family "Bacterial small subunit ribosomal RNA", at positions 30 to 526 of the family's 1533-position model. The record is from RNAcentral.